UCCGAAUGGAGAAAGCGUAUCGGG
RNAcentral lists this non-coding RNA (24 nucleotides) under Arabidopsis thaliana (thale cress). The record is from RNAcentral. Lineage: Eukaryota; Viridiplantae; Streptophyta; Magnoliopsida; Brassicales; Brassicaceae.